This 468-nucleotide ribosomal RNA is filed under the name uncultured bacterium. RNAcentral's name for it is "partial 16S ribosomal RNA". It matches the Rfam family "Bacterial small subunit ribosomal RNA", at positions 28 to 507 of the family's 1533-position model. The record is from RNAcentral.
GACGAACGCUGGCGGCGUGCUUAACACAUGCAAGUCGAACGGAAAGGCCCUGCUUUUGUGGGGUGCUCGAGUGGCGAACGGGUGAGUAACACGUGAGUAACCUGCCCUUGACUUUGGGAUAACUUCAGGAAACUGGGGCUAAUACCGGAUAGGAGCUCCUGCUGCAUGGUGGGGGUUAGAAAGUUUCGGCGGUUGGGGAUGGACUCGCGGCUUAUCAGCUUGUUGGUGGGGUAGUGGCUUACCAAGGCUUUGACGGGUAGCCGGCCUGAGAGGGUGACCGGCCACACUGGGACUGAGAUACGGCCCAGACUCCUACGGGAGGCAGCAGUGGGGAAUAUUGCACAAUGGGCGGAAGCCUGAUGCAGCAACGCCGCGUGCGGGAUGACGGCCUUCGGGUUGUAAACCGCUUUCGCCUGUGACGAAGCGUGAGUGACGGUAAUGGGUAAAGAAGCACCGGCUAACUACGUG